UAGCAAGCCUCCAGCGUGCUUGGGUCUGCCGUGACCCUGUGCAUUCCUACAGUGCUUGCUAGAACAGUUUUGAAACGGUUUGAGGCCUUGCCCUGCUCUAUCCAGAGCAAGGUUAUAGAAAUUUCAGACAGUU
Small nucleolar RNA from Chinchilla lanigera (long-tailed chinchilla), 133 nucleotides. The record is from Ensembl. NCBI's taxonomy places the organism in Eukaryota, Metazoa, Chordata, Mammalia, Rodentia, Chinchillidae.